This 468-nucleotide ribosomal RNA is filed under the name uncultured bacterium. RNAcentral's name for it is "partial 16S ribosomal RNA". It matches the Rfam family "Bacterial small subunit ribosomal RNA", at positions 28 to 507 of the family's 1533-position model. The record is from RNAcentral.
GACGAACGCUGGCGGCGUGCUUAACACAUGCAAGUCGAACGGAAAGGCCCUGCUUUUGUGGGGUGCUCGAGUGGCGAACGGGUGAGUAACACGUGAGUAACCUGCCCUUGACUUUGGGAUAACUUCAGGAAACUGGGGCUAAUACCGGAUAGGAGCUCCUGCUGCAUGGUGGGGGUUGGAAAGUUUCGGCGGUUGGGGAUGGACUCGCGGCUUAUCGGCUUGUUGGUGGGGUAGUGGCUUACCAAGGCUUUGACGGGUAGCCGGCCUGAGAGGGUGACCGGCCACAUUGGGACUGAGAUACGGCCCAGACUCCUACGGGAGGCAGCAGUGGGGAAUAUUGCACAAUGGGCGGAAGCCUGAUGCAGCAACGCCGCGUGCGGGAUGACGGCCUUCGGGUUGUAAACCGCUUUCGCCUGUGACGAAGCGUGAGUGACGGUAAUGGGUAAAGAAGCACCGGCUAACUACGUG